AUUGCCCUAGUAACGGCGAGUGAAGCGGCAACAGCUCAAAUUUGUAAUCUGGCGCAAGCCCGAGUUGUAAUUUGUAGAGGAUGCUUCUGGGCAGCGACCGGUCUAAGUUCCUUGGAACAGGACGUCAUAGAGGGUGAGAAUCCCGUAUGUGACCGGUCCGUACCCUCCACGUAGCUCCUUCGACGAGUCGAGUUGUUUGGGAAUGCAGCUCUAAAUGGGAGGUAAAUUUCUUCUAAAGCUAAAUACCGGCCAGAGACCGAUAGCGCACAAGUAGAGUGAUCGAAAGAUGAAAAGUACUUUGGAAAGAGAGUUAAAAAGCACGUGAAAUUGUUGAAAGGGAAGCGCCUGCAACCAGACUUCGCGGCAGUAUUCCGCCGGCCUUCUGGCCGGUUCAUUUUCUGUCGCGAGGCCAUCAUCGUCUGUGCCCGCCGGAUAAGACCUUGGGAAUGUAGCUCACCUUCGGGGGAGUGUUAUAGCCCAUGGUGAUGCGGCGAGGCUCGGGCGAGGUCCGCGCUUCGGCAAGGAUGAUGGCGUAAUGGUUGUCGGCGGCCCGUCUUGAAACACGGACCAAGGAGUCUAACAUCUAUGCGAGUGUUCGGGUGUCAAACCCCUACGCGUAAUGAAAGUGAACGGAGGUGGGAACCGCAAGGUGCACCAUCGACCGAUCCUGAUGUCCUCGGAUGGAUUUGAGUAAGAGCAUAGCUGUUGGGACCCGAAAGAUGGUGAACUAUGCCUGAAUAGGGUGAAGCCAGAGGAAACUCUGGUGGAGGCUCGCAGCGGUUCUGACGUGCAAAUCGAUCGUCAAAUUUGGGUAUAGGGGCGAAAGACUAAUCGAACCAUCUAGUAGCUGGUUCCUGCCGAAGU
This 864-nucleotide ribosomal RNA is filed under the name Scirrhia brasiliensis. RNAcentral describes it as "LSU rRNA". It matches the Rfam family "Eukaryotic large subunit ribosomal RNA", at positions 74 to 967 of the family's 3401-position model. The record is from RNAcentral. Lineage: Eukaryota; Fungi; Ascomycota; Dothideomycetes; Mycosphaerellales; Mycosphaerellaceae.